RNAcentral lists this ribosomal RNA (119 nucleotides) under Pteropus alecto (black flying fox). The record is from RNAcentral. Lineage: Eukaryota; Metazoa; Chordata; Mammalia; Chiroptera; Pteropodidae.
GUCUACAGCCAUGCCACCCUGAAUACACCUGAUCUCGUCUGAUCUCGGAAGCUAAGCAGGGUCGGGCCUAGUUAGUACUUGCAUGGGAGACCGCCUAGGAAUAACACGUGCUGUAGGCU